GAUGAACGCUAGCGGGAGGCUUAACACAUGCAAGUCGAGGGGCAGCAUAGGGUAGCAAUACUCUGAUGGCGACCGGCAAACGGGUGAGUAACGCGUAUGCAACCUACCCUGUACAGGGGGAUAACCCGGAGAAAUUCGGACUAAUAUCCCGUAAUAAUAUCCGGAGGCAUCUUUGGAUAUUUAAAGUUCCGACGGUACGGGAUGGGCAUGCGUAACAUUAGCUGGUUGGUAAGGUAAUGGCUUACCAAGGCUAUGAUGUUUAGGGGUCCUGAGAGGGUGGUCCCCCACACUGGUACUGAGACACGGACCAGACUCCUACGGGAGGCAGCAGUGAGGAAUAUUGGUCAAUGGGCGCAAGCCUGAACUAGCCAUCCCGCGUGCAGGAAGACGGCCCUAUGGGUUGUAAACUGCUUUUCCAGGGAGAGAAACUUACGCACGUGUUGCGUGACUGACGGUACCCUGGGAAUAAGCAUCGGCUAACUCCGUG
RNAcentral lists this ribosomal RNA (487 nucleotides) under uncultured bacterium. RNAcentral's name for it is "bacterial SSU rRNA". It matches the Rfam family "Bacterial small subunit ribosomal RNA", at positions 28 to 507 of the family's 1533-position model. The record is from RNAcentral.